GACGAACGCUGGCGGCGUGCUUAACACAUGCAAGUCGAACGGAAAGGCCUGCUUUCCCUUGUGGAUUGCGGGUACUCGAGUGGCGAACGGGGGAGUAACACGUGAGUGAUCUGCCCCCAACUUGGGUAUAAGCCUGGGAAACUGGGUCUAAUUCCCGAUAGGACUGCAGGGUGGUUCCUGUGGUUGGAAACGAUUUUCUAGUGGUUGGGGGUGAGCUCGCGGCCUAUCAGCUUGUUGGUGGGGUAAUGGCCUACCAAGGCGGCGACGGGUAGCCGGCCUGAGAGGGUGGACGGCCACAUUGGGACUGAGAUACGGCCCAGACUCCUACGGGAGGCAGCAGUGGGGAAUAUUGCACAAUGGGCGGAAGCCUGAUGCAGCGACGCCGCGUGGGGGAUGACGGCCUUCGGGUUGUAAACUCCUUUCGACCGCGAGGAAGCCACCUGGUUGGAAGGGUGGUGACGGUAGUGGUAGAAGAAGCACCGGCUAACUACGUG
Molecule: ribosomal RNA, 494 nt
Filed under: uncultured bacterium
Lineage: Bacteria
Description: partial 16S ribosomal RNA
Rfam family: Bacterial small subunit ribosomal RNA
Source: RNAcentral